UGUUAAAAUUUCAUCCAUUUGUACAGUUAAAACUGACAUGGCUGACGAAAUAACCAAACAGUUACAUGUGGCGUGCCACGUAUAACUCACGCUGAUGUACAAGGACUAGUUUUUAAUAGUAAAAAUGGACAAUUUUUAACA
This 141-nucleotide microRNA precursor is filed under the name Gossypium hirsutum (cotton). RNAcentral's name for it is "MIR7502 microRNA precursor family". It matches the Rfam family "MIR7502 microRNA precursor family". The record is from Rfam by way of RNAcentral. Lineage: Eukaryota; Viridiplantae; Streptophyta; Magnoliopsida; Malvales; Malvaceae.